Molecule: ribosomal RNA, 387 nt
Filed under: uncultured bacterium
Lineage: Bacteria
Description: bacterial SSU rRNA
Rfam family: Bacterial small subunit ribosomal RNA
Source: RNAcentral
ACUAAAUAGAUACCCCGGUAGUCCACGCUGUAAACGGUGAGUGCUGGGUGUGGGAGGUGUAAUGCCUUCUGUGCCGAAAGCUAAACGCGUUAAGCACUCCGCCUGGGGAUACGGCCGCAAGGUUGAAACUCAAAGGAAUUGACGGGGGCCCGCACAAGCGGUGGAGCAUGUGGUUUAAAUUCGACGCAACGCGAAAAACCUUACCUGGGCUUGACAUGUGGAGAACCCGGUGGAAACACUGGGGUGCCCGUAAGGGGAGCUCCAACACAGGUGCUGCAUGGCUGUCGUCAGCUCGUGCCGUGAGGUGUUGGGUUAAGUCCCGCAACGAGCGCAACCCUCAUCUUAGUUGUCCAUCAUUAAGUUGGGCACUCUAGGGAAACUGCCGCA